GAGUUUGAUCUUGGCUCAGGAUGAACGCUAGCGGCAGGCUUAACACAUGCAAGUCGAGGGGUAGAGGAAGCUUGCUUCCUUGAGACCGGCGCACGGGUGCGUAACGCGUAUGCAAUCUGCCUUGUACUGAGGGAUAGCCCAGAGAAAUUUGGAUUAAUACCUCAUAGUAUAUAACCUUCGCAUGUUGGUUAUAUUAAAGUUCCAACGGUACAAGAUGAGCAUGCGUCCCAUUAGUUAGUUGGUAAGGUAACGGCUUACCAAGACGAUGAUGGGUAGGGGUCCUGAGAGGGAGAUCCCCCACACUGGUACUGAGACACGGACCAGACUCCUACGGGAGGCAGCAGUGAGGAAUAUUGGUCAAUGGGCGCAAGCCUGAACCAGCCAUGCCGCGUGCAGGAUGACGGUCCUAUGGAUUGUAAACUGCUUUUAUACAGGAAGAAACCACCCCUUCGUGAAGGGACUUUGACGGUACUGUAGGAAUAAGGAUCGGCUAACUCCGUGCCAGCCGCCGCAGU
RNAcentral lists this ribosomal RNA (515 nucleotides) under uncultured Flavobacterium sp. RNAcentral's name for it is "bacterial SSU rRNA". It matches the Rfam family "Bacterial small subunit ribosomal RNA", at positions 9 to 521 of the family's 1533-position model. Lineage: Bacteria; Pseudomonadati; Bacteroidota; Flavobacteriia; Flavobacteriales; Flavobacteriaceae. The record is from RNAcentral.